GGAAUAUUGGUCAAUGGGCGGGAGCCUGAACCAGCCAAGUCGCGUGAGGGAAGACGGUCCUACGGAUUGUAAACCUCUUUUGCCGGGGAGCAACGGGGUCCUUGCGAGGUCCCAAUGAGAGUACCUGUAGAAUAAGCUCCGGCUAACUACGUGCCAGCAGCCGCGGUAAUACGUAGGGAGCAAGCGUUAUCCGGAUUUAUUGGGUGUAAAGGGUGCGUAGACGGGUAUAUAAGUUAGUUGUGAAAUCCCUCGGCUCAACUGAGGGACUGCAACUAAAACUGUAAAUCUUGAGUGCGGGAGAGGAAAGUGGAAUUCCUAGUGUAGCGGUGAAAUGCGUAGAUAUUAGGAGGAACACCAGUGGCGAAGGCGACUUUCUGGACCGUAACUGACGUUGAGGCACGAAAGUGUGGGGAGCAAACAG
Molecule: ribosomal RNA, 421 nt
Filed under: uncultured bacterium
Lineage: Bacteria
Description: bacterial SSU rRNA
Rfam family: Bacterial small subunit ribosomal RNA
Source: RNAcentral